UGAGGAAUAUUGGGCAAUGCCCGCAAGGGUGACCCAGCAACGCCGCGUGGAGGAUGAAUGUCGUAAGAUCGUAAACUCCUGUUAGAGGGGAAGAAUAGUACCGGUUGGACCGGUAUAUGACUGUACCCUCAGAGAAAGCCCCGGCUAACUACGUGCCAGCAGCCGCGGUAAUACGUAGGGGGCAAGCGUUGUCCGGAUUUACUGGGUGUAAAGGGCGCGCAGGCGGGAUAAAAAGUCAGUGGUGAAAUCCUACAGCUUAACUGUAGAACUGCCUUUGAUACUUUUAUUCUUGAGUUCGGGAGAGAGAGACGGAAUUCCAGGUGUAGUGGUGAAAUACGUUGAUAUCUGGAAGAACACCAGUUGCGAAGGCGGUCUCUUGGUCCGACACUGACGCUGAGGCGCGAAAGCGUGGGGAGCAAACA
This 422-nucleotide ribosomal RNA is filed under the name uncultured bacterium. Its description in RNAcentral is "bacterial SSU rRNA". It matches the Rfam family "Bacterial small subunit ribosomal RNA", at positions 355 to 774 of the family's 1533-position model. The record is from RNAcentral.